CGAUCCGCAGGCGAUGCAUCUGGCGACCGCACACAAUCUGCGCUUUUUCGGGCGAUUGAUGCAGCUUUUGCAGGAAAAGUAAGCGCUUCUGGAGGAAAACAUGAGCGAACUGAAGGAAAAACUGCUCGCUUCGAAAAAAUAUCGCGACGUUUGCCCGGACACGAUCGAGCGCAUAUGGCGUGAAUGCAGCGCGAAAUUCAAAAAGGAAAAGGACGUGGACAAGGCGGCGCGCGAAGCGCUUCACGGCGUGACCGGCGCGUUCAUGACCGAGCGCGAAUACAAACGCGCAAUGGAAAUGGCGGCGGCACGCGAUUGGGAAGCGCUGCUUGGAAUGCACGCGUCCACGCGCGAACGGCUGCCUGUGGAAUCGAUGGAUCGCGUGUUCGAUCAGCUGUUUGAAGCCAGCGGAACGCCGGCGCGAAUCCUCGAUCUCGCGUGCGGGCUGAAUCCUGUCUACCUCGCGCAUCGAUUGCCAAAUGCGGCGAUUACCGGCGUGGAUAUCAGCGGUCAGUGCGUAAACGUAAUUCGUGCGUUUGGCGGCGCGGAAGCGCGUUUGGGCGAUUUGCUGUGCGAAAUCCCGGAAGACGAGGCGAAUGCGGCGCUGCUGUUUAAGGUGCUGCCGCUUUUGGAGCGCCAGCGUGCGGGCGCGGCGAUGGAUGCGCUAAUGCGCGUGAAUGCGGAAUGGAUCGUCGCAUCGUUUCCGACGCGUUCGCUCGGCGGGCGCAACGUCGGCAUGGAAAAGCACUAUUCCGAAUGGAUGGAGGCGCACGUGCCGGAAAAUCGCGCGAUUGCCGCGCGGCUGACCGGCGAAAACGAGCUGUUUUACGUGCUGAAACGAAAAUGAAGGUGGAAGAUUUCCGGUUCGAACUGUUCGAGCUGCGCGAUUUGGCGCGCGCGAAAGGCGUCGAUCGCCUGAAACGGGUGGGCAGAUUGCUCCGCAAACA
RNAcentral lists this ribosomal RNA (944 nucleotides) under Pseudomonas aeruginosa. RNAcentral describes it as "partial 16S ribosomal RNA". The record is from RNAcentral. Lineage: Bacteria; Pseudomonadati; Pseudomonadota; Gammaproteobacteria; Pseudomonadales; Pseudomonadaceae.